GGAUUCCCCUAGUAACUGCGAGUGAAGCGGGACAAGCUCAAAUUUAAAAUCUGGNAGAUGUUUGUCUGUCCGAGUUGUAACCUADAGAAKUGUAACCUGUGCUGGACCGUGUACAAGUCUCCUGGAAUGGAGCAUCAUAGAGGGUGAGAAUCCCGUCUUUGACAUGGACUACCAGUGCACUGUGGUUGCACACUCAACGAGUCGAGUUGUUUGGGAAUGCAGCUCUAAAUGGGUGGUAAAUUCCAUCUAAAGCUAAAUAUUGGCGAGAGACCGAUAGCGAACAAGUACCGUGAGGGAAAGAUGAAAAGAACUUUGGAAAGAGAGUUAAACAGUAUGUGAAAUUGUUGAAAGGGAAACGCUUGAAGUCAGCUGCWUUAGCUGGGGAUCAAGCCAGCUUUUUUGCUGGGUGUACUUCCUGGUUGAUGGGCCAACAUCAGUUUUGACCAUCAGAGAAAGGCUAAGGGAAUGUGGCACCUUUAUAGGUGUGUUAUAGCCCUUGGUUGUAUGUGAUGGUUGGGACUGAGGACAGCAGUGUGCCGCAAGGCCGGGUUUCGACCACGUUCAUGCUUCGGAUGUUGGCAUAAUGGCUUUAABCGACCCGUCUUGAAACACGGACCAAGGAGUCUAACAUGCAUGCGAGUGUUUGGGUGGAAAACUC
This 658-nucleotide ribosomal RNA is filed under the name Amanita sturgeonii. RNAcentral's name for it is "Amanita sp. 'sturgeonii' partial large subunit ribosomal RNA". The record is from RNAcentral. Lineage: Eukaryota; Fungi; Basidiomycota; Agaricomycetes; Agaricales; Amanitaceae.